This 899-nucleotide ribosomal RNA is filed under the name uncultured bacterium. RNAcentral's name for it is "bacterial SSU rRNA". It matches the Rfam family "Bacterial small subunit ribosomal RNA", at positions 1 to 846 of the family's 1533-position model. The record is from RNAcentral.
UUAGUUACGGCGAUUGAUCUUAGGCGGCCGGCGAGUUCGCCCUUGGAAUUCAGACUUUGAUUAAUGGCUCAGAAUGAACGCUAGCUUACAGGCUUAACACAUGCAAGUCGAGGGGGCAGCAUCAUCAAAGCUUGCUUUGAUGGAUGGCGACCGGCGCACGGGUGAGUAACACGUAUCCAACCUGCCGACAACACUGGGAUAGCCUUUCGAAAGAAAGAUUAAUACCGGAUGGCAUAGUUUUCCCGCAUGGGAUGACUAUUAAAGAAUUUCGGUUGUCGAUGGGGAUGCGUUCCAUUAGGCAGUUGGCGGGGUAACGGCCCACCAAACCUACGAUGGAUAGGGGUUCUGAGAGGAAGGUCCCCCACAUUGGAACUGAGACACGGUCCAAACUCCUACGGGAGGCAGCAGUGAGGAAUAUUGGUCAAUGGACGAGAGUCUGAACCAGCCAAGUAGCGUGAAGGAUGACUGCCCUAUGGGUUGUAAACUUCUUUUAUACGGGAAUAAAGUGAGCCACGUGUGGCUUUUUGUAUGUACCGUAUGAAUAAGGAUCGGCUAACUCCGUGCCAGCAGCCGCGGUAAUACGGAGGAUCCGAGCGUUAUCCGGAUUUAUUGGGUUUAAAGGGAGCGUAGGCGGGUUGUUAAGUCAGUUGUGAAAGUUUGCGGCUCAACCGUAAAAUUGCAGUUGAUACUGGCGACCUUGAGUGCAACAGAGGUAGGCGGAAUUCGUGGUGUAGCGGUGAAAUGCUUAGAUAUCACGAAGAACUCCGAUUGCGAAGGCAGCUUACUGGAUUGUAACUGACGCUGAUGCUCGAAAGUGUGGGUAUCAAACAGGAUUAGAUACCCUGGUAGUCCACACAGUAAACGAUGAAUACUCGCUGUUGGCGAUAUACGGUUAGCGG